The sequence is a ribosomal RNA, 316 nucleotides long. It matches the Rfam family "Eukaryotic large subunit ribosomal RNA", at positions 331 to 670 of the family's 3401-position model.
AGACCGAUAGCGAACAAGUACAGUGAUGGAAAGAUGAAAAGAACUUUGAAAAGAGAGUGAAAAAGUACGUGAAAUUGUUGAAAGGGAAGGGCUUGAGAUCAGACUCGGUAUUUUGCAAGCCUAUCCUUCGUGGAGAGGUUUAUUAGCAGCUUACCGGGCCAGCAUCGGUUUGGAUGGUAGGAUAAUGGCAUUGGAAUGUGGCUCUUCGGAGUGUUAUAGCCUUUGUUGAUACUGCCUAUCUAGACCGAGGACUGCGUCUUUGACUAGGAUGCUGGCGUAAUGAUCUUAAGCCGCCCGUCUUGAAACACGGACCAAG